Sinocyclocheilus rhinocerous is the source of this 86-nucleotide long non-coding RNA. RefSeq lists it as uncharacterized. The transcript has 3 exons. NCBI's taxonomy places the organism in Eukaryota, Metazoa, Chordata, Actinopteri, Cypriniformes, Cyprinidae. The record is from RefSeq and is a predicted model, not a curated record.
CAUAGAGAAGUUUUUCACCGUCCCACAUGUGUAAGAUGGUAUGUUGUUUUAGACUAGUGUUUUUAAAUAAUUUUUUAUUCACUUUU